Molecule: ribosomal RNA, 428 nt
Filed under: uncultured bacterium
Lineage: Bacteria
Description: bacterial SSU rRNA
Rfam family: Bacterial small subunit ribosomal RNA
Source: RNAcentral
UGGGGAAUCUUCCGCAAUGGGCGCAAGCCUGACGGAGCAACGCCGCGUGAGUGAAGAAGGUUUUCGGAUCGUAAAGCUCUGUUGAGAGGGACGAGAGAUAUAAUCAGGAAAUGGGUUAUAGAGGACGGUACCUUUCGAGGAAGCCACGGCUAACUACGUGCCAGCAGCCGCGGUAAUACGUAGGUGGCGAGCGUUGUCCGGAAUUAUUGGGCGUAAAGGGAGCGCAGGUGGGAAAGUAAGUCAGUCUUAAAAGUUCGGGGCUCAACCCCGUGAUGGGAUUGAAACUACUUUUCUUGAGUGCAGGAGAGGAAAGCGGAAUUCCUAGUGUAGCGGUGAAAUGCGUAGAUAUUAGGAGGAACACCAGUGGCGAAGGCGGCUUUCUGGACUGUAACUGACACUGAGGCUCGAAAGCGUGGGGAGCGAACAGG